RNAcentral lists this small RNA (242 nucleotides) under Vigna angularis var. angularis. RNAcentral describes it as "Non-protein coding transcript". Lineage: Eukaryota; Viridiplantae; Streptophyta; Magnoliopsida; Fabales; Fabaceae. The record is from RNAcentral.
CUGAGAGGGAUCUUCAGCAGCUUUUCAGUACACAGGGAGAGGUUGUCGACAGCCACUUGGUGAGAGAUUUUCAUACCAAGGAAUCUCGUGGAUUUGCUUUUGUCACUAUGGCAACUACAGAUGACGCUGAGCGCUGUAUCAAGAAAUUCGAUCACACGGUUCAAUUUGAUCGGGUGAUAGUUGUGGAAAGGGUAAUAUUUAGCUACUGGUUUCAGAAUGAGUAUAACCAAAAAUUAUUUUUG